AAUCUGUAAAAAGAAAAACAAAGUCAGUGAGCAACAACUUAUUAAUUAGUAUAAUUAGAAAAAGAACUUAAAAUAGUAAUUAGCAUGCUAACUAAUAAAUUAUGGACAUGUAAAUAUUUAAUUGUUAAUCACUUAAUUCUUACUUAAAAACAUAUUUCAUAUUUUAAAUAAAAAUACAUAUUUCUUGCAUUGUAAUUUGUACUUGUUACUUGUUGUUUAUACUAAAUCAAGAUUUUCGUAUUAUGUUCCAUAUAUGUUAUGGUUUAAUAUUUAAUUAGUACUUGUUACUUGUUUAUAGCAAUAGAAGCAGAAGGUAGUUCUGGUGCACAGUCUGUUCAAGAUGAUCACACUCCUUUAUGGAAGUAUGUCACAAAGUUGGAGAAGAUGGGUAAAGGAGGGGGAAUUGGCAGUGGAUGCGUAGUUACUGUCAUGAAGUAUUUACAUCCUUCUACUCAAGGGUCAAAGCCCAUCUAAUACGGAUUAGUGGACAAUAAUUUAAAAUGUGCAAAGGUGUUAAACUGCACAAUAUGAGAGACAUGCAAACUGAUAUGGAUCAAGCGGAAGCAAGGGUGAGGUCUUCUAUGCCUAGGACAGUGACGCUGCCAAGUUCUUCAGCGUCAAGUGCAGCAGCAGGAAAUCAAAUCAUGUCUUCUCGUCCAAGUGAGCUAAAGAGGAGGAGGGGAGUCACCACCGUUGAACAUGCCUUCAAUACAAGGGCAAGAGAUGAAUUGGAUUCAAUGAUUGCAAGGAUGUUCUAUAUCGGUGAGCUGUCAUUUAAUUUGGCAAGAAAUCCUUAUUUCUCCAAGAUGAUCACAUAUGUCGCAAGCAAUUCAAUUGCCGGUUACAAGCCUCCAGGUUAUAAUUCUUUGAGGAUCACUCUUUUGUAACGUGAGAAGGCUCUCAUAGAGAGGUUGUUGGAGCCCAUCAGGGACACAUGGAAGCAGAAGGGGUAUCUAUUUGUAGUGAUGGCUGGGCAGAUGCACAGAGGAGGCCAUUGAUAAAUUUUAUUACGGUCUCAGAAAGCGGGCCAAUGUUCUUGCACUGCGUGAAUGCGCCGAGGGAGAGCAGAAGAAUAAAUAUUUCAUUGCAGAGAAACUUGAAGAUUGCAUUAGAGAGGUAGGGCCUUAAAAUGUGAUUCAAAUCAUUACUGGUAACGCUUCAGCAUACAAGGCCGCAUGGGCAGUUGUGGAGGGCAAAUUUCCACACAUCUUCUGGACUCUGUGUGUUGUUCACACCCUCAAUCAAGCCCUUAAGAAUAUCUGUGCUGCGAAAAAUACAGAGACUAAUGCAAUUGCUUAUGCAGAGUGCAGUUGGAUUACAGAGGUAUCUGAUGAUGCUUUGAUGAUUAAGAACUUCAUCAUGAAUCACUCAAUGAGGCUGUCUAUGUUCAAUGAGCAUUCGAAGAUGAAGCUUCUUUCAAUUGUUGAUACCCGAUUUGCUUCAUGGAUCAUCAUGUUAAAGAGGUUCAUGGUGAUCAAGAGAAGCCUCCAAGAUAUGGUUCUUAGCGAUCGUUGGAGCUUGUACAGAGAUGAUGGUGUGGAAAAAACACAAUUUGUUAAGGAGAAAGUGCUUGAUGAUUUGUGGUGGGAUAAGGUGGAUUAUAUUAUUGAUUUCACUGCUCCUAUAUAUGAUAUGAUCCGGCUCACAGAUACCGACAAACCCAGCCUUCAUUUGGUAUAUGAUAUGUGGGAUACAAUGAUUGAGAAGGUGAAGUUUGUUAUUUAUAGACAUGAGGGCAAAAGAGAAAAUGAUCCCUCCUCAUUUUAUGAUGUCGUACACAAGAUCUUGGUGGCUAGAUGGAAUAAGAGCAACACGUCACUUUAGUGCUUGACGCACUCUUUGAAUCCAAUAUAAUAAUUUAGAUUAUGUUAUCAAUUCAUUAUUUUUGAUGUGAUUAUUUUUAUUAAUAAUAUCUAAUUCAAUGUUAAACUUUAAUAGAUAUUAUCACGAGACAUGGCUCAAUGAGAAUAUCCAUCGGCAAGCACCCCAUCAGGAUGAGGAGAUCUCUUCGGAAAGGUCUAAGUGUCUGAGGAGAUAUUAUCCUAAUGCCGAUGAACGGAGGACAGUUAACUUGGAAUAUGCUAGAUUCUCGGCCGCUCUUGACACUUUUAGUGAUCCAGAUGCUCUUGCUGAUGGAGGAUUGAUUGAUUCAAAACCAUGGUGGGUGUUCUAUGGAUCCUCAGCUCCAAAUCUGCAAGCAUUGGCCUUAAAGCUUCUGGGCCAACCCUGCUCAUCCUCUUGCAGCGAAAGGAAUUGGAGUACAUACUCAUUCAUUCACUCUUUGAAGAGGAACAAGAUGACACCGGCAAUGGCAGAAGAUCUUGUGUAUGUGCAUAACAAUCUUCGUUUGCUUUCUCGGUCAUCCCAAGAAUAUCAAGAAGGAGAAUCGAAGCUGUGAGAUAUUAGUGGAGAUGCAUUCGACUCAUUUCAGGGUGCUGAUAUUCUUGAUGUCGCCACCUUGUCUCUUGAUGAACUCACCAUAGAGGCCGUAUUGUUUGCUGAUGAUGAAGGUAAUGAAAAGGUCAUCGGACUAGCUUCCACUUCAUCUUGAUGUAUUUUUUGUUUACAAACUUGUUAUUUUGUGAUAGAAAGAAUGAGUAUGUACUCCAAUUCCUUUUUGUUUACAAACUUGUUAUUUUGUGAUAGAUUCAUAAUUUAGUUUGUUAGUUGAAUUUUAUAAAUUUUUUUAUAUAUAAUAAUACUUUGAAAAAAAUUCUUGCCGUAUCCCCGUAUCCUAUAUUUUUUGGAUUUUGUCGUAUCCCGUAUCCGUGUCCGUGUCGUAUCUGUGUCCCGUAACCGUAUCUGUGCAUCAAUAUCCUCCAAUUACUCUCUCUCUCUCUCUCUCUAUCUACUUUCUCUUAUAACAAUUAGACCAUCGCCGAGUGCCAGAACGCCGAUGCCAUCGUGCUGACCUACGCUUGUGAUCGCCCGUCCACCCUGGAUCAGCUAAGUAUCUACUGGCUUCCGGAGUUGGUUGAGGAGGCUGGAGAUUAAAGUGCCAGUGAUUGUUGUUGGAUGCAAGUUGGAUCUUAGGGAUGAGCAGCAUAUGAGCUUGGAGCAGGUUCUGUUGCCGAUUAUGCAGCGGUUUCGAGAAAUUGAGACUUGCAUUGAAUGUUCUUCCCUCAGGCAAAUUCAGUGCUUCCCUCCCAGCCUAGUGACAUUGUUAGAGUCAAGAAGGUUGUGCAAGAGAAUAUGCCUGAUGGGGUUAACGAAAACGGCCUUACUUUGAAUAUUUAAGGGACUGGUUGGAGAUAUUGGAGGGAGUAGUAGUGGUUUUCGUACGAGGGAUAGAGCCGUUGUCGCCCCCGACGAGAUGUGAGGUUUUUUUAUUUUUUAUGCACUAAAUAGUUUUUUUUUUAUCUUUAAUAGUACUCUAUUUUAUUCAUCUGUGUUAUGGACUUGGUAUUGUUAGUGUAUCUGUUGUAAAUAUUAGGAUAAGAUAGGUUUUUGCUGAAAUGGAUGUUGAUUUGGAUUGUUGGAUGUA
This is a long non-coding RNA of Asparagus officinalis (garden asparagus), 3484 nucleotides long. RefSeq lists it as uncharacterized. The transcript is spliced from 4 exons. Lineage: Eukaryota; Viridiplantae; Streptophyta; Magnoliopsida; Asparagales; Asparagaceae. The record is from RefSeq and is a predicted model, not a curated record.